GCCUCCCCAGUGCCCGGCACAGGGGCACGGUCCCUGCCCUGCUCCUGCUGGCCACACCACUCCUCAGACAAGCCAGGGUGCCCUUGGCCCUCUUGGACAACUGGACACUCUGCUGGCUUCCAUCCAGCGGGCUGUCAUCCAGUC
Egretta garzetta (little egret) is the source of this 144-nucleotide long non-coding RNA. RefSeq lists it as uncharacterized. NCBI's taxonomy places the organism in Eukaryota, Metazoa, Chordata, Aves, Pelecaniformes, Ardeidae. The transcript has 4 exons. The record is from RefSeq and is a predicted model, not a curated record.